UUCGCAAUGCCCGAAAGGGUGACGAAGCGACGCCGCGUGUGGGAAGAAGGCCUUCGGGUUGUAAACCACUGUUGGGAGUUAGGAAGUGUGGAGGUGUUAAUAGCGCUUUCACUUGACUAAAGCUACAGAGGAAGCCACGGCUAACUCUGUGCCAGCAGCCGCGGUAAUACAGAGGCGGCAAGCGUUGUUCGGAAUUAUUGGGCGUAAAGAGCACGUAGGCGGCUAUGUAAGUCGGUUGUGAAAGCCUUCCGCUCAACGGGAGAACAGCAUCCGAUACUGCAUGGCUAGAGUGCGGAAGGGGAGAGUGGAACUUCUGGUGGAGCGGUGAAAUGCGUAGAUAUCAGAAGGAACGCCGGCGGCGAAAGCGGCUCUCUGGCCCAUAACUGACGCUGAGUGUGCGAAAGCUAGGGGAGCAAACGGGAUUAGAUACCCCGGUAGUCCUAGCCGUAAACGAUGGGCACUAAGUAGAGGGGUUUU
RNAcentral lists this ribosomal RNA (477 nucleotides) under uncultured anaerobic ammonium-oxidizing bacterium. RNAcentral's name for it is "bacterial SSU rRNA". It matches the Rfam family "Bacterial small subunit ribosomal RNA", at positions 365 to 832 of the family's 1533-position model. The record is from RNAcentral.